UCCUCGUCGCCCCUCUGCGUUGGCCCCCCCCCACCGCAUAUACAAGCACUCGCACGCCUGCGCGGAUGUCUUAGCGACACAGUAAGUGGUGCUUGCAUGAACAAGUCGCAGUUCUACGCGCUACACAGCGCGUACGGCGGCCUGCGUGAGGCGACGCAUCUCGCUGCUGUGACCGAACAGGGCCUCCCCAGUCAGCACGGAGCAGUAGAGAGCCCAGCAGCGGGCCCGCCAUCCUUGAGGGCCGUGAACGACGCCGUUGGCACUGCGGGCCCCCAAGGCGCAUCCAUGUCGAUGAUGAUGUCCAGCACAGAUGCACUGCCAGUCAAGAGUGAAGCGCAUAUGUUUCACCGCCGUAUGCCGGACGACAGCGCUUUCUUAGUGACGCCAGACGCAGAGCUGUGUGCACGGCACCACGCCUCGCUGGCACAGGUGUGGGCCUGGAGAACGCAGCUCAGCCAACAGCAGAGCCCUCUAUAUCACAGAACGUCCACGAUCGCCGCACCAUCAGCAAGUGGCCAUCGGGAGCCUCAAGACACGACGGAGACAACGCUGGAAGGAGGCACACCCCACUCCCCGCACCGACCCUGCACAGCAGCUAACCUCCUCCGAAGCUGCUGCCGGGCCACUCCUCCCCACCUUCUGACAGGCAGUGGCAGCGACGCGCAUGGUCGGGUGUCUGCAGCGGCAAGUGCCGCUGCCGCGGUCGUGGCGGCUUCAUCCUCGCACCUCUUCCUCCCCACAGGCCUUCGCUCGCUGGACGCGGCGCUACUGGGUGGACUGCGGCGCGGAUGGGUAACGGAGCUGACCGGACUCCCCGGCACUGGCAAGACAACGCUCGCAGCCGAGUGGUGCCGCAGCUGCCUCCGUCAUGCCAGAUCGUGUGGAACGGCGCACGACUGUGUGUGGCUGCAGUCCGGCAGCGCCGUUCACUCUGCCGUGCUGGUCACAGCUCAUGAAGAAGCAGAUGCAACUGAGUUGUCGUCCUUGGUCGAUGCUGUGCAUGUCGCCUGUCUCUCAAGCCUCGAUGGCCUCCAGCAGCUGCUGGCCCGCUGGCAAGGCACAGAGGGCUCUGCGUCUCCGCUCUCCACCGUUGGCUUGAUUGUGCUGGAUAGCAUCACCGACCUCAUGCGGCGCAGCUUCCGCUGCGAAGACGACGACGCGCUGCAGCGGCAUGAGGCACUCGCUACGACACUCCAGUCGCUGAAGCGGCUGGCAGAGGAACAGCGAGUGGCAGUUCUCGUCAUCACGCAACAGCAGCGCCAUCCCUGGCCCGCGCUCGGGCGAUCUAGCAUUUCGCACACCAUCCGUGGUGUGUACAAGGAGGACGGCAACGAGGACGAGGACGACAGCGAGGCGUGGGGCAGCGAGUAUAGCAGACAUGCAAGUGGAGGCGCAGGUGUCGUCGGUCCUCAUGCGUGCCGUAGCGAUUUCAGCUCCGAGGACGUGGGACAGCUUGGUCGGCUCUUCUUCCACAAUGUGAACGUGCGGCUGCAGCUGCGAGCCGGUGUGCGGUCUGCCGGCUGCAGGCCCUCCCCAAGCAAGCCCUUUGACGCCGGCGGCCCCGAGGGCGACAGGGAAGCACUGCGGCUCAGGUGGCAACUCGAGGUUCUGAAGUCUCCGCUGUGUGCACCGUUCGCCGUAGGCCUUCAGCUAAGGGUUCCGACGUCCUUGUCGUGCUCAGAUGACCCUCCCUGCGUGCCGGGGCUUCCUCUCUGCGUAGAGGAAGUCGACGACGACGACGGGAGUCGUGGGUCCGCGGUGCCGCUGGCGCCGAACACACAAGUCGAAGAAGGGCUGUCUCUGUUGUCCCUGGACCCGUGGGACUACACGGAGGUGCCAUCCUUCUUGUAUCUAUAACGGGGAAGUGCGCGUGCAUGUGUGAUGACCUCGAACCCCUUGGCAUCCUUGUCGUCCGGGACGUGUGGCGAUCCCGCCCCCUUCCCUGGGGUGUGUUGCGUUUGCCGCGCGCGAUCUCCCUCUCCUCCACUCGCGGUGCUGCUGAGCAUGAUGUCGUGCACUCUCGUGCAUCUACCACUACUAUGGGUGGUGCUCGCUGUCUCCCUCACGGAGCCACGAGGUUCCUCGACAGGAACACAG
Molecule: unclassified non-coding RNA, 2097 nt
Filed under: Leishmania donovani
Lineage: Eukaryota; Euglenozoa; Kinetoplastea; Trypanosomatida; Trypanosomatidae
Description: gene:LdHU3.11.0290(CDS-product:Rad51/AAA_domain/K aiC/ATPase_family_associated_with_various_cellular_activiti es_(AAA)_putative)
Source: RNAcentral